Molecule: long non-coding RNA, 803 nt
Filed under: Homo sapiens (human)
Lineage: Eukaryota; Metazoa; Chordata; Mammalia; Primates; Hominidae
Description: non-protein coding lnc-AKIP1-4:1
Source: RNAcentral
UGCUUGAGCCCAGGAGUUUGAGGCUGCAGUGAGCUAUGAUCGUGCCACUGCCCACCAGCCUGGGUGACAUAGUGAGACCCUGUCUCUAAAAAUAAAAAAAAAAUUGGGGCAAAACAAAAAUAAUGGGAGAUGUGACUUCCUGAGGAAUAGACCAAUCUAAAAGGGAAGGAAUGCUUUUUACGUUUCUUUUAAAACUACAGAUUGAAUCCUGUUUCAGUCAAAGGAGGCAGAAAGUACCUCCCUGCCAGCAGCUCACAAUCUGGCCUCCCUAGGACUAUUAGGAUCUAAUUGGAACCUCUCACUGCCUGUAACUGAAAGUAAGGGAAAGUGUGGAGGACAGAGAAACCUAUGCAAGAGCUUUUUGGAGUGGAUCUCUUUAAAUGUGGUGAUGGAGAGAGACUGUAGGUGUAAGUGGCUUUGGGCAGUAGCAGUAAGAGCUGUGUAAACUUAGGGCCAGGGGAAAUUUGUUUGGACUUAAACUGGGGAGGCUGAGGCAUGAGAAUCACUCGAACCUGGGAGGCAGAGGUUGCAGUGAGCCAAAAUCAUGCCACUGCACUCCAGCCUGGGCAACAGAGUGAGACUCUUUGUCUCAAAACAACAACAACAACAACAACAACAAAAACCCUCAUGGGCUGAGCAGUCCUUCUGGCUCAGUGGCUGUCCUAGAAAUAGGGCUAUGGUUUCAACCAGGGACCCCCAGUGGGUCCCAGUGUGGGCAGUGCCUAGAGAUCUAAGCCCUUAGCAGUGGUGUUCCUUCACCUCACAGCCUCCCUGCCCCAGAUACGUUCAGUGACCCCAGGACU